RNAcentral lists this ribosomal RNA (595 nucleotides) under Hanseniaspora uvarum. Its description in RNAcentral is "eukaryotic LSU rRNA". It matches the Rfam family "Eukaryotic large subunit ribosomal RNA", at positions 48 to 657 of the family's 3401-position model. Lineage: Eukaryota; Fungi; Ascomycota; Saccharomycetes; Saccharomycodales; Saccharomycodaceae. The record is from RNAcentral.
UAGCGGAGGAAAAGAAACCAACUGGGAUUACCUUAGUAACGGCGAGUGAAGCGGUAAAAGCUCAAAUUUGAAAUCUGGUACUUUCAGUGCCCGAGUUGUAAUUUGUAGAAUUUGUCUUUGAUUAGGUCCUUGUCUAUGUUCCUUGGAACAGGACGUCAUAGAGGGUGAGAAUCCCGUUUGGCGAGGAUACCUUUUCUCUGUAAGACUUUUUCGAAGAGUCGAGUUGUUUGGGAAUGCAGCUCAAAGUGGGUGGUAAAUUCCAUCUAAAGCUAAAUAUUGGCGAGAGACCGAUAGCGAACAAGUACAGUGAUGGAAAGAUGAAAAGAACUUUGAAAAGAGAGUGAAAAAGUACGUGAAAUUGUUGAAAGGGAAGGGCAUUUGAUCAGACAUGGUGUUUUUUGCAUGCACUCGCCUCUCGUGGGCUUGGGCCUCUCAAAAAUUUCACUGGGCCAACAUCAAUUCUGGCAGCAGGAUAAAUCAUUAAGAAUGUAGCUACUUCGGUAGUGUUAUAGCUUUUUGGAAUACUGUUAGCCGGGAUUGAGGACUGCGCUUCGGCAAGGAUGUUGGCAUAAUGGUUAAAUGCCGCCCGUCUUGA